RNAcentral lists this ribosomal RNA (477 nucleotides) under uncultured anaerobic ammonium-oxidizing bacterium. Its description in RNAcentral is "bacterial SSU rRNA". It matches the Rfam family "Bacterial small subunit ribosomal RNA", at positions 365 to 832 of the family's 1533-position model. The record is from RNAcentral.
UUCGCAAUGCCCGAAAGGGUGACGAAGCGACGCCGCGUGUGGGAAGAAGGCCUUCGGGUUGUAAACCACUGUCAGGAGUUAGGAAAUGCAAGGGUGUUAAUAGCGCCUUUGCUUGACUAAGGCUCCAGAGGAAGCCACGGCUAACUCUGUGCCAGCAGCCGCGGUAAUACAGAGGCGGCAAGCGUUGUUCGGAAUUAUUGGGCGUAAAGAGCACGUAGGCGGCCUUGCGAGUCAGUUGUGAAAGCCUUCCGCUCAACGGAAGAAUGCCAGCUGAUACUACAGGGCUUGAGUACGGGAGGGGAGAGUGGAACUUCUGGUGGAGCGGUGAAAUGCGUAGAUAUCAGAAGGAACGCCGGCGGCGAAAGCGACUCUCUGGCCCGAAACUGACGUUGAGUGUGCGAAAGCUAGGGGAGCAAACGGGAUUAGAUACCCCGGUAGUCCUAGCCGUAAACGAUGGGCACUAAGUAGAGGGGUUUU